Molecule: long non-coding RNA, 1102 nt
Organism: Pezoporus flaviventris
Lineage: Eukaryota; Metazoa; Chordata; Aves; Psittaciformes; Psittacidae
Exons: 5
Source: RefSeq, a predicted model, not a curated record
GAAGAGAAGGCUCCAGGGAGACCUUAGAGCAGCCCUCAAGUAUGUAGAGGGGUUGAUAGAGUCUCCUUCCAACACAGCAAAGGGACUUUUUACAAGGGCAUGUGGUAACAGGGUUGUCAGGGUCUCCUUCUGUGAAAACUAACUUGGUGCAGUAAUACCUCAUAGAGAAGAAGUUUUUAGAAAUAUGGUGUUAAGAAGCUGAUGGGUCUUCAGUCAGUCUGUAAUCUGUAAGAUACUCAGGUCAUCUCUAGAACAAGGAUACAAAAACCUCCUUUAAAAGCGAACAUUGUGGAUUUGAUGCUCAGCAGUUUGAGCUGACUGUGCUCAGUCAUUGGAGGGACCUCCUUUCUUGUAAGGUUGUUCUCAGUGAGAGAAGAACUUCAUCUAUUUCUUUGGACUUCCCCCUCUGAAAGACAUCCAGUCUUUGCUGAUGGAAGGGUACUAUUUGGAGCUGAAGAGCCUGCUGGAGGUCAUGUGCAUUUGCAUUGUAAUGGCAGAGAUACACAGAAAUAGUUUUGUGUUUGGAAAAAUGAUUCAGCAGUUUCUGUUCAUGUUGAGGCCUUACCUAAAAUAAUUCUGACAACACGUGGGUGUUAUUUCUUGGAUGCCAGUCAUAGUCCAUGUAUACAGCCACUUAAAGAUAAAAGUGGAACUUAGUAAUUACAGGAGUCCUUCAAGGUGUUGUACAUAUGUAUGCUUCACUUUUUGUUCUUCAGAGUCUUUCAGAAUCUUUCGCAGAUGUUUUUGCUUGCAAAUUUUGCUUUGGAGAGAGACCUGAGUUGAUGCCUGGUUCAUUUCACCCAAAUAUACUCAACAUGGGGAAAGAAUUCACCCAAGUAACUGGGCAUAGCAUGUCUCUGAGAACACCUGACCGAAGCAAGUGGUUCUGUUGUCAUGACCAAAGUUUUUCUGUUGGUGGAGUUCUUUGGUAUUGUUGGUUUGUUUUUUUGUGUGUGUUUCUUAAUGUGUGUUUCGAGUGCCUGAGAAACCUUUUCAAAUGAAGCACAUAAUUUAGUAUGGAAGUAUUGCUUACAUGUUUUUUGGUGCACUAGGCUAGAAACUGAAUCAAGAGAUGUAUAUUAAAACAGUUGUUGAAACAACA